RNAcentral lists this ribosomal RNA (374 nucleotides) under uncultured organism. RNAcentral describes it as "partial 16S ribosomal RNA". It matches the Rfam family "Bacterial small subunit ribosomal RNA", at positions 527 to 896 of the family's 1533-position model. The record is from RNAcentral.
GUAGGUGGCAAGCGUUGUCCGGAAUUAUUGGGCGUAAAGCGCGCGCAGGCGGUCCUUUAAGUCUGAUGUGAAAGCCCACGGCUCAACCGUGGAGGGUCAUUGGAAACUGGGGGACUUGAGUACAGAAGAGGAAAGCGGAAUUCCAAGUGUAGCGGUGAAAUGCGUAGAGAUUUGGAGGAACACCAGUGGCGAAGGCGGCUUUCUGGUCUGUAACUGACGCUGAGGCGCGAAAGCGUGGGGAGCAAACAGGAUUAGAUACCCUGGUAGCCCACGCCGUAAACGAUGAGUGCUAAGUGUUAGGGGGUUUCCCGCCCCCCUUAGUGCUGCAGCUAACGCAUUAAGCACUCCGCCUGGGGAGUACGGCCGCAAGGCUG